CACAGGUUUACCUGUGUGACUGCGUACCUUUUGUAUAAUGGGUCAGCGACUUAUAUUCUGUAGCAAGGUUAACCGAAUAGGGGAGCCGGAGGGAAACCGAGUCUUAAUUGGGCGUUAAGUUGCAGGGUAUAGACCCGAAACCCGGUGAUCUAGCCAUGGGCAGGUUGAAGGUUGGGUAACACUAACUGGAGGACCGAACCGACUAAUGUUGAAAAAUUAGCGGAUGACCUGUGGCUGGGGGUGAAAGGCCAAUCAAACCGGGAGAUAGCUGGUUCUCCCCGAAAGCUAUUUAGGUAGCGCCUCGUGAAUUCAUCUCCGGGGGUAGAGCACUGUUUCGGCUAGGGGGCCAUCCCGGCUUACCAACCCGAUGCAAACUGCGAAUACCGGAGAAUGUUAUCACGGGAGACACACGGCGGGUGCUAACGUCCGUCGUGAAGAGGGAAACAACCCAGACCGCCAGCUAAGGUCCCAAAGUCAUGGUUAAGUGGGAAACGAUGUGGGAAGGCCCAGACAGCCAGGAUGUUGGCUUAGAAGCAGCCAUCAUUUAAAGAAAGCGUAAUAGCUCACUGGUCGAGUCGGCCUGCGCGGAAGAUGUAACGGGGCUAAACCAUGCACCGAAGCUGCGGCAGCGACGCUGAUGCGUUGUUGGGUAGGGGAGCGUUCUGUAAGCCUGCGAAGGUGGCCUGUGAGGGUUGCUGGAGGUAUCAGAAGUGCGAAUGCUGACAUAAGUAACGAUAAAGCGGGUGAAAAGCCCGCUCGCCGGAAGACCAAGGGUUCCUGUCCAACGUUAAUCGGGGCAGGGUGAGUCGACCCCUAAGGCGAGGCCGAAAGGCGUAGUCGAUGGGAAACGGGUUAAUAUUCCCGUACUUGGUGUUACUGCGAAGGGGGGACGGAGAAGGCUAUGUUGGCCGGGCGACGGUU
Molecule: ribosomal RNA, 921 nt
Filed under: Salmonella enterica subsp. enterica serovar Enteritidis
Lineage: Bacteria; Pseudomonadati; Pseudomonadota; Gammaproteobacteria; Enterobacterales; Enterobacteriaceae
Description: partial 23S ribosomal RNA
Rfam family: Bacterial large subunit ribosomal RNA
Source: RNAcentral